GAGUCCCGUCUGACUGAGACGGCAGGCCUGGGCGGGCGGGGGUGCCGCGAAGGGCGGAGCGCCGUGCUGGGGAUGAGCUAAGCGGGCUCAGAGCGCCGCGGCAUUCAGCCCCUCGUGUCCCGCUACCGCGCGUGAGGGAAUCCGGCGCCGCUCUCCGAGCUCGACCCGCUGCUCGCACGGGAGCCAGCUGGGAGUUAUUUCUCAAACUCUGAGGCUGCGGAGUUCACACAUUGAAAUCUGUCAUCUUUUUCGAGAGAAACUUUCGGUAAUGUAUGUAACCUUCUGUAAUGGAAGAUGAUUGAAGACAAGGGGCCUCGUGUUGCUGACUACUUUGUUGUAGCAGGAUUAACUGAUGUUUCAAAGCCUCUAGAAGAAGAAAUUCACUUCAAUGAUGCUUGUCAUAAAGUAGCUAAACCAAAAGAACCUAUUACAGAUGUUUCAGUUAUUAUCAAAUCUCUUGGGGAGGAAGUCCCACGGGAUUAUAUCUGUAUUGAUGUUACCCCAACUGGCUUGUCAGCUGAUCUUAAUAAUGGAAGUCUUGUGGGGCCACAGAUUUACCUUUGCUAUAGAAGAGGAAGAGAUAAGCCUCCACUUACAGAUCUGGGGGUUUUAUAUGACUGGAAAGAAAGAUUGAAACAGGGUUGUGAAAUUAUUCAGAGUACUCCCUAUGGGCGCCCCGCAAAUAUUAGUGGGAGUACCUCAUCACAAAGAAUUUAUAUCACUUACCGAAGAGCCUCUGAAAACAUGACUCAGAAUACGUUGGCUGUCACUGACAUAUGUAUUAUUAUACCCAGUAAAGGAGAAAGCCCACCACACACGUUCUGCAAAGUCGACAAGAAUCUCAAUAACAGUAUGUGGGGAUCAGCAGUAUACUUGUGUUAUAAAAAAUCGGUGGCAAAGACGAACACUAUAUCUUACAAAGCUGGCCUAAUUUGUAGAUAUCCUCAAGAAGAUUAUGAGUCAUUCUCACUACCAGAAUCCGUUCCUCUAUUUUGUUUACCAAUGGGUGCAACCAUUGAAUGUUGGCCAUCAAAUAGCAAAUACCCUCUGCCUGUAUUUUCUACAUUUGUUUUAACUGGAGCCUCAGCUGAAAAGGUUUAUGGUGCUGCUAUUCAGUUUUAUGAACCAUACUCUGAGGAGAAUCUCACAGAAAAGCAGAGACUUCUUUUGGGUUUAACAUCAGCAGAUGGGAAGUCUGAUAGUUCCAAAACAAUUCAUACUAACAAAUGCAUCUGCCUUCUUUCUCACUGGCCUUUUUUUGAUGCAUUCAGGAAGUUUCUGACUUUUCUGUAUCGUUAUUCCAUCUCUGGGCCUCAUGUUCUUCCAAUUGAGAAGCAUAUUUCUCAUUUUAUGCAUAAAGUUCCUUUUCCAUCUCCUCAGAGACCACGGAUUUUAGUUCAGUUAUCACCACAUGAUAAUCUGAUUCUCAGUCAGCCUGUGUCUUCACCUCUUCCACUAAGUGGUGGCAAGUUUUCAACACUACUGCAGAAUUUAGGCCCUGAAAAUGCUGUGACACUACUGGUGUUUGCAGUAACAGAACAUAAAAUUCUUAUCCAUUCCCUACGACCAUCCGUGCUUACUAGUGUGACAGAAGCAUUAGUGUCUAUGAUUUUCCCUUUCCACUGGCCAUGCCCAUAUGUUCCUCUCUGCCCACUGGCUUUAGCAGAUGUCUUGAGUGCACCAUGUCCAUUUAUAGUAGGGAUUGAUUCAAGAUACUUUGAUCUCUAUGAUCCUCCACCAGAUGUCAGUUGUGUUGAUGUAGAUACCAACACUAUUUCUCAAAUUGGUGACAAGAAAAAUGUAGCCUGGAAGAUACUUCCAAAGAAGCCAUGUAAAAAUCUGAUGAACACACUGAAUAAUUUGCAUCAGCAAUUGGCAAAAUUGCAGCAGAGACCGAGAGAUGAUGGACUCAUGGAUUUAGCAAUGAAUGACUAUGAUUUUAAUUCUGGAAAGAGGUUGCACAUGAUAGAUUUGGAAAUCCAAGAGGCAUUUUUGUUUUUCAUGGCCUCUAUUUUAAAAGGUUACAGAUCAUACUUAAGGCCAAUAACACAAGCCCCAUCUGAGACCGCCACAGAUGCAGCCUCUCUCUUUGCCCUACAAGCUUUCUUAAGAAGCCGGGACCGGUCACAUCAAAAAUUCUAUAACAUGAUGACCAAAACACAAAUGUUUAUUCGCUUCAUUGAAGAAUGUUCUUUUGUCAGUGACAAAGAUGCAAGCCUGGCAUUUUUUGAUGAUUGUGUAGAUAAAGUAAGUAAUGGUACAUCUACAGUGCCCUAACUUAUUUUGUGUGACUGUUAUAAAUGUUAUGAGUUAUAGUUUCUAUUUAUAGCUUUUAAUGAAAUUGAAAUUAAUUUCAUUUUCAUCAUUGACCACUUAUAAUGAAAGUUUUGGUAGCCUGCUAGAAAUUAUAGAAUGCACCUCUUACAAUUACCUUGUAGAAUUUUACUAAAUCAUAAGUUUUAUUUUAGCAAUCAGGUCCCUAACCCUCCCUGUCCACUUACAAAACCGGGAAUUUUUUGCCAGCCUGUGCACCUCCAACUUGAACGUCUGUAAUUUUCACCUCUCCUUUUUGUCUGAUAUGGGUUAUCACAUGCUGAAAGUAGGUAUAAAAGUAUAAUAAAUGUUUUACCUGAAUAUUUC
This 2640-nucleotide small RNA is filed under the name Pongo abelii (Sumatran orangutan). Its description in RNAcentral is "retained intron". The record is from RNAcentral. Lineage: Eukaryota; Metazoa; Chordata; Mammalia; Primates; Hominidae.